CAGGAGCUGCCCGGUGCGUCAGGCAAGACAUCCCCUGGGCCGUUAAGCAACUUCCCUUGGGAACUGGCUCUGUUCAGGCCGUGGUCUGAAUAUCUGGUGCCCACCUGCACAAGCAGGCCUUGGGAGGAUGCAAGUGCCAACGGCCAGGGUGGCUCCACA
RNAcentral lists this non-coding RNA (159 nucleotides) under Acidocella aminolytica 101 = DSM 11237. RNAcentral's name for it is "6S / SsrS RNA". It matches the Rfam family "6S / SsrS RNA". From Rfam's summary of the family: E. coli 6S RNA was the first non coding RNA to be sequenced, but its function was unknown until recently. It consists of 184 nucleotides that fold into an extended hairpin structure with a large single-stranded internal bulge. The record is from Rfam by way of RNAcentral. Lineage: Bacteria; Pseudomonadati; Pseudomonadota; Alphaproteobacteria; Acetobacterales; Acidocellaceae.